This 251-nucleotide ribosomal RNA is filed under the name uncultured prokaryote. RNAcentral describes it as "partial 16S ribosomal RNA". It matches the Rfam family "Bacterial small subunit ribosomal RNA", at positions 525 to 775 of the family's 1533-position model. The record is from RNAcentral.
ACGUAGGAGGCAAGCGUUAUCCGGAGUUACUGGGCGUAAAGGGCGUGCAGGCGGUUGGCUAAGUUCGUUGUGAAAGCGCCCGGCUCAACUGGGCGAGGGCGUGUGAGACUGAAAAACUGGAGAGAGGUAGAGGCAAGUGGAAUUCCGGGUGUAGUGGUGAAAUGCGUAGAGAUCCGGAGGAACCCCGGUGGCGAAGGCGACUUGCUGGGCCUGAACUGACGCUCAGACGCGAAAGCAUGGGGAGCGAACGG